Durio zibethinus is the source of this 1146-nucleotide non-coding RNA. NCBI's taxonomy places the organism in Eukaryota, Viridiplantae, Streptophyta, Magnoliopsida, Malvales, Malvaceae. The record is from RefSeq and is a predicted model, not a curated record.
UUUCGUUAGCGGCUUCUACUUCUUCUGUUGCAAAACCCCACUCUGAAACCCGAACCGACUGUCCCCUGUCAAAUUCAGGAUUUCGAAACGAUAUUUUUACUAUUCAAUAUACAAAUCUUUUUUUUUCAGUGCUAAAAAAUAUCAAAGAAGAAGCCAAAUAUGAGAAAUCAGAUGGACGCCGCGAAUGACCACCGAUUUAACAUAAGGAAUAUUAUGAAGGAUAUUGAGUUUCUGGGAUCCUCGUACAUGACAUGGAAGGAGAGGAAAGAGAUGGAGAAUAGGAAGGUGGUUUCUAUGGGUGGAAGCCACCUAAGAAGCAGAGAUUACCCUUAAGUGUAGCUAGGGUGGUCAUGAAGAAACAAAAGGAAAGAGAAGAUAAAAUGCUAAAAGAGAAUAUGUUUCUCGGCCGAUUUAGAGGGAAGCUUGGUGGUGGUGUUAAAAGAUCAGCAGACAAGCGGAGGCCUGAGGAGAGGGUUCUGAAGUCAAGUGAAGGUCAUUUUAAAAAUGGUGUACUUGAUGUGAAGCAUUUGUUUCGUAAGGCUUCUGCUAAUGACAAGGACUUUGAUGGACAUGCGGUUAAUAAUGCAAAAAAUAAAAGGGGAAGUGUUAAAAAGAAUCAAGGAAAGAAGAAAAGUGGUGGCCGUGGUGGUGGUGGCAGGAAGCGCCAUUGAAUGAAACAUCUAAUCUAAGAAGAUUCACCCCCUUGGCAAUGCCAGUUUUGGAUAUUUGAAACUGAUAGAAUAGCCCUUUUUUGGGCAUUGACAAAUUGUCACAGUUGGCCUAUGUUCUAUUAUUGUAUGCUAAAGCUGUUUUCAGUUUCAAGGCCCUCAAGUAUGCAGAGAGCACAACUACAUAGCUGCUUGACAAAUAUAGGAACGACCAGUAAAUUUGAUGGGAGAUUGAGUCUUGAUGAUUUGUUUGCAUAAUUUGUUCACAACCUGGUGUUGGUUAUUCUGCAUAUGAAAUCUUUCACUCUCCUCUUUUAUGUCUAUUCUUUGUUCCCACUUCAAGCAUUGCUCAAAAUUUUACAAAAUUUGUAAAUGCUUCAUUCCUAUGCAAAAUGUCUCCAGGCUUGUAUUCCAUGAUAUAUGUUUCAACAAGCCUUUUUAGAAAUUUUAUGAAAACAACCACUACUACAAAUAAAAU